This 162-nucleotide ribosomal RNA is filed under the name uncultured bacterium. RNAcentral's name for it is "partial 16S ribosomal RNA". It matches the Rfam family "Bacterial small subunit ribosomal RNA", at positions 355 to 509 of the family's 1533-position model. The record is from RNAcentral.
UAGGGAAUCUUCCACAAUGGACGAAAGUCUGAUGGAGCAACGCCGCGUGAGUGAAGAAGGGUUUCGGCUCGUAAAGCUCUGUUGGUAGUGAAGAAAGAUAGAGGUAGUAACUGGCCUUUAUUUGACGGUAAUUACUUAGAAAGUCACGGCUAACCACGUGCC